RNAcentral lists this unclassified non-coding RNA (249 nucleotides) under Hevea brasiliensis (rubber tree). The record is from RNAcentral. Lineage: Eukaryota; Viridiplantae; Streptophyta; Magnoliopsida; Malpighiales; Euphorbiaceae.
GGCCCUCUAGUGGGGAGCAAUUGCAAUCAUGGGUGCGUACAAAGGAAGAGAAAGUGCACCAGGGAGUGGAAAUUCUUCAGACACUUGAGAAGGAGUUUUACCACCUUCAGAGCCUUUGUGAGAGAAAAUGUGAGCAUUUAAGCUACGAGGAAGCAUUGCAGGCUGUGGAGGAUCUCUGUCUUGAAGAAACUAAGAAAGGGGAAACUGAUACACAUGAUCGUAGCUGCUAUGAAUAUGCACUUAGAAGGA